UUUUGCUGCAGUUCUUUGUGUAUCUGAGGCCCUUGAAGAAAGCUUGCAGAUGAAAAGCUUGAAAUGCAUUCUUAAGUGCUUGAAGCUGUCAGCUUCUUGAAGGGCUACAGCCCUUUGGCCUCAUGGAUACAGUAUUUCAGGAAAUCCUUCAGGAUUCUGCCUUGGAAGGAGCCAUAUGAUCAUGGAGUAACAUGUCAGGAGCUGUUAGACGAAAUCAUGCUGGCUGUAUAUAGCAGUCUUGCUGCAAGAUCUUGGACACUUUUCACACACUGAACUUCAGAGGCUCAGACUGUGGGGGUUUUUCUUGGAUCUCAGAGGGUGACAAGAUAAGGCUGUGUGUACAACUUCAGGCUUGGAGGCCAUUAGUGGGAUCUGAUGGGUGCCUCCCAAUCUCCUAUAACAAAAAAAAGUGUGUGCCAAACUUCAGAGUACAGAUAGUGAUAAAAUAAGGGAAGGUUCAAAGCAGACAUAAGGUUUGGUUGUAGGUGGAGCAGACUCUCCCACUCUCACUGUGCUGCCUGUGUAGACCACAGACUAAUCUGUUAGGGUCCUGCAGACCCCAGUAGGAAAUACUUUCUUUCUCCCCUCUCAUCCACACCUAUUCUCCUCAUCACCACAAAUCCAUCACCCUAUGGCCCACAGACUUCUUCUGGGCUUGAGAAACAUUUCAUGGACUCCCAAAGAUGAAAAACAAAUCUGUUGAUGACAGACUAGGAUUUGUUAAUAGGACUAUGGUCUGCUGAGUGUACAGGCCUACCUGUACAUAUUAUAUGUGUUGCUUUCUUUCUGAAAAAUAGCAAAGGUAACUUAUCUGUAAUUGUAAUCACAGCAUUUCUUCUCAUUAUCUUAAAAGUAUUGCUACAACACACUUCUUUUCUUGCCUGUGCCUUGGAUCUGAAUCCAAUACAGGUCAGUCUAGCGUCAUGUUUAUAGAUAUUCCUGAUUAGUUCUUAGCUUUCAUUACUGAUCCUAUUGACAUGGGCCAUAUCUGUAAAUUAAUUUGCAUUGAAUAAAUGAAAACAAGGAAAAGUUGGGGAAAUUAAAUCCCACC
RNAcentral lists this long non-coding RNA (1051 nucleotides) under Gallus gallus (chicken). Its description in RNAcentral is "lncRNA (ENSGALG00010012866.1)". Lineage: Eukaryota; Metazoa; Chordata; Aves; Galliformes; Phasianidae. The record is from RNAcentral.